AGUGAUGGCGACUUUUAUUGGGCCUAAAGCGUCCGUAGCUGGCCCUGCAAGUCCGUCGGGAAAUCCACUCGCCUAACGAGUGGGCGUCCGGCGGAAACUACAGGGCUUGGGACCGGAAGACUUGAGGGGUACGUCUGGGGUACGAGUGAAAUCCUGUACUCCUGGACGGACCGCCGAUAGCGAAAGCACCUCAAGACGACGGAUCCGACAGUGAGGGACGAAAGCUAGGGUCUCGAAC
This 238-nucleotide ribosomal RNA is filed under the name uncultured archaeon. RNAcentral's name for it is "partial 16S ribosomal RNA". It matches the Rfam family "Archaeal small subunit ribosomal RNA", at positions 487 to 724 of the family's 1478-position model. The record is from RNAcentral.